Molecule: transfer RNA, 73 nt
Filed under: Bos taurus (domestic cattle)
Lineage: Eukaryota; Metazoa; Chordata; Mammalia; Artiodactyla; Bovidae
Also listed under: 4 other names
Rfam family: tRNA
About the family: Transfer RNA (tRNA) molecules are approximately 80 nucleotides in length. Their secondary structure includes four short double-helical elements and three loops (D, anti-codon, and T loops).
Source: Rfam by way of RNAcentral
UCCCUGGUGGUCUGGUGGUUAAGACUUUGCACUUCCAAUGCAAGGGGUGAGGGUUCAAUCCCUGGUUGGGGAA